CGGCCCAGACUCCUACGGGAGGCAGCAGUGGGGAAUAUUGCACAAUGGGGGAAACCCUGAUGCAGCCAUGCCGCGUGUGUGAAGAAGGCCUUCGGGUUGUAAAGCACUUUCAGCGAGGAGGAAAGGUUGAUGCCUAAUACGUAUCAACUGUGACGUUACUCGCAGAAGAAGCACCGGCUAACUCCGUGCCAGCAGCCGCGGUAAUACGGAGGGUGCAAGCGUUAAUCGGAAUUACUGGGCGUAAAGCGCACGCAGGCGGUUGGAUAAGUUAGAUGUGAAAGCCCCGGGCUCAACCUGGGAAUUGCAUUUAAAACUGUCCAGCUAGAGUCUUGUAGAGGGGGGUAGAAUUCCAGGUGUAGCGGUGAAAUGCGUAGAGAUCUGGAGGAAUACCGGUGGCGAAGGCGGCCCCCUGGACAAAGACUGACGCUCAG
This 431-nucleotide ribosomal RNA is filed under the name Aeromonas hydrophila. Its description in RNAcentral is "bacterial SSU rRNA". It matches the Rfam family "Bacterial small subunit ribosomal RNA", at positions 327 to 750 of the family's 1533-position model. The record is from RNAcentral. Lineage: Bacteria; Pseudomonadati; Pseudomonadota; Gammaproteobacteria; Aeromonadales; Aeromonadaceae.